Molecule: small RNA, 949 nt
Filed under: uncultured Micromonospora sp.
Lineage: Bacteria; Bacillati; Actinomycetota; Actinomycetes; Micromonosporales; Micromonosporaceae
Description: bacterial SSU rRNA
Rfam family: Bacterial small subunit ribosomal RNA (bases 1-471)
Source: RNAcentral
GUCGUGAGAUGUUGGGUUAAGUCCCGCAACGAGCGCAACCCUUGUUCGAUGUUGCCAGCGGUUCGGCCGGGGACUCAUCGAAGACUGCCGGGGUCAACUCGGAGGAAGGUGGGGAUGACGUCAAGUCAUCAUGCCCCUUAUGUCCAGGGCUUCACGCAUGCUACAAUGGCCGGUACAAAGGGCUGCGAUACCGUGAGGUGGAGCGAAUCCCAAAAAGCCGGUCUCAGUUCGGAUCGGGGUCUGCAACUCGACCCCGUGAAGUCGGAGUCGCUAGUAAUCGCAGAUCAGCAACGCUGCGGUGAAUACGUUCCCGGGCCUUGUACACACCGCCCGUCACGUCACGAAAGUCGGCAACACCCGAAGCCGGUGGCCCAACCCUUGUGGAGGGAGCCGUCGAAGGUGGGGCUGGCGAUUGGGACGAAGUCGUAACAAGGUAGCCGUACCGGAAGGUGCGGCUGGAUCACCUCCUUUCUAAGGAGCACCUUCAGCCGAAAGGCUGCAAGGAGCCCGCACCGCCCGACUGUGGUGGUGGGGUUGCUCGAUGGCGGAGACACUGGCGAAGUUUUUCUGGCAACGGUUGUUGCGUGAGUACUGCACGGCCUUCGGGUUGGGCGUGGAAAGCGCAUCGAUGCGGCUUGAAACAACAUACAGGCAUCCUGUUGGGUCCUGAAACAAUCAGCACACGAACUGUGUGGGGGUUGUUUUGGACGGAAUCCACAUCAGUGUGCAGAACCGUGUCGGCGUGCCGGCGUAGGCUGUGCCUGACAAAAUGGUGUGGGUUUGGUGUUGGUUGAGAAUUGCACAGUGGAUGCGAGCAUCUUUAAAGCUUUUUUGUGGUCAAGUUGCUGAGGGCGUACGGUGGAUGCCUUGGCACCAGGAGCCGAUGAAGGACGUGGGAGGCCGCGAUAGGCCUGGGGGAGCUGUCAACCGAGCUGUGAUCCCAGGGUGU